CUGUCCUUUCUUUUAAUUUUUUUCACAAAGGAACUUCAAACUUCUCUGGUGGCUUAGGUGGCACCUUCCCUCUUGCAUGGUCUGCCAACUCUCGCCAACUCCUCCUAUGUAUCAAUGUCUGGGAAGCAACUGCUCCUGCUCCUCACCAUGUGAUGUGCAACAUGGGUGUUCAGACACUGGAAUUUUGGCAGACCAGGAGGUUUGCUUUUUUCCUGGAGAUUUCCACCCUGGACUUUUCCUUUGACUUAUGUUCUUACAGGUACCUCAUCUCUACUCACUGAAAUGACAUCUGUGGCCUAAGGCAAGAAUAUAAAUGAAAUCUAGAAGUAUUAUCCAUCACAGGAGCUGGAAGUAGUAUUACAGGAAGAAUUAGAGGAGAUGGCUUUCAUGGAUUAAAGGACCCAAUGAUGUUACACAUGGUGAGCUAACACGACGCUUGUUUCUCCAAAACUACUGGCCUACGGAACUGCACAAUGCCCACUGUGGAAGAAGAGCUGGAAGUUUACCAACCUCAGUGUCCAUCCAACUCAGCCAGAUCACCUGGAAUAUUGGGGUCUAUGACCUCCAGGGACCACCAGAGAGACUCCCAGAAUAGAGGAAUCUUUUUGGCAACAGAAAAGCUGGAAGCCAAGAAUAACUUUUAUUUGGCUUGUUCAUAAAAUGUUUGUACCUUGGAAAUGGGCUGAUAAUUUUAUGAAAUCUUCAAAGUAGGAUGCUGAAGUUAUCAGCUGUUAAAGUUUAUGCAAAUAUUUCGCAUGUUUCAGGUGGCUUAGCAUACUUUUUUCCUCCUGUCUAUAAGUCAUAUAUAUAUAUAUAUAUAUAUAUAUAAAUAUUUAGUAAGUGUAGUCCUAAUAUGUGCUGAGGAACUUCAGCAGCAGUUGGUCAUUAAUUAGUAACCACUCAAAAAACACAUUCAGAUUGUUUCUGACAGUCAUUUUCCUAUACAUUUUCCAAGACAUUUUAAUAAUUGUCAUUCUCUCCCAUUUAAAUAAUAAUGUACCAUGCACUGUCAUAUCAAAUAUAUUAUAGAAGUUCAAAUAAAUAACAUCUCUGUAAUGCCUAGUCUCUAAAU
RNAcentral lists this long non-coding RNA (1072 nucleotides) under Parus major (Great Tit). Its description in RNAcentral is "lncRNA (ENSPMJG00000002812.1)". Lineage: Eukaryota; Metazoa; Chordata; Aves; Passeriformes; Paridae. The record is from RNAcentral.